GAAUCUGGGAAAUGAGCAGAUUUAGUACUCUAGAAUCCCAAUAUCUGUGAAGUUCUUCAAAUGAAAAUUAUGAAAAUCUUUGCUGCGGUUCGGGGGAUAGGAAAGCUACCUGAACAACUGGCUGGUGAUCUUUCGAGGUCCUGCUCAAAAGAAUAUCAGUUGCAAUGGUCACACCUGUUUCAUCAUCUGACAAUGUUUGGAAAAUACACAUACCUUGACGAAUGACCAUUCCUCUAAGGUUCGCGGAUCAUCAGGCUUAUCUGACCCUGCAAAGUACGCCGCAGGUGACCUUGGCUCAAUGUUGUAUCUCCUGCAGAAUGGAAGCCAGUGCUUCGCGAAGGCGGAGGUCUCCCACAAGGCAUAGAAAGUGAGGAUCGAGCCCCCGUCGUCGGAGAGGUACACGUUCAGUUUCUCAGGUGGGUAAUUGUACGCCAUGAGCGAGAGGACCGUGGCCAUGACGAGGCUCGGCGGCUCCGAGUGCGGAUCUGCGGUGCAGACGAAGAUGUCUACGGAGGGUAGCCGGUCUCCGUACCUGCUCCAGAUUGCACGGUAUUCAUGUUGAUGCUUCAUGUUUACAUGCAUCUCAAUGAUGGCAUGAGCACGAUAGAUCGUCGCAUAUUAUAAUUUAAGGCUAGACCCUCUGGUGCACCAUUAA
Panicum virgatum (switchgrass) is the source of this 655-nucleotide long non-coding RNA. RefSeq lists it as uncharacterized. NCBI's taxonomy places the organism in Eukaryota, Viridiplantae, Streptophyta, Magnoliopsida, Poales, Poaceae. The transcript has 2 exons. The record is from RefSeq and is a predicted model, not a curated record.